This 1457-nucleotide ribosomal RNA is filed under the name Limosilactobacillus fermentum. RNAcentral's name for it is "bacterial SSU rRNA". It matches the Rfam family "Bacterial small subunit ribosomal RNA". Lineage: Bacteria; Bacillati; Bacillota; Bacilli; Lactobacillales; Lactobacillaceae. The record is from RNAcentral.
AAUACAUGCAAGUCGAACGCGUUGGCCCAAUUGAUUGAUGGUGCUUGCACCUGAUUGAUUUUGGUCGCCAACGAGUGGCGGACGGGUGAGUAACACGUAGGUAACCUGCCCAGAAGCGGGGGACAACAUUUGGAAACAGAUGCUAAUACCGCAUAACAGCGUUGUUCGCAUGAACAACGCUUAAAAGAUGGCUUCUCGCUAUCACUUCUGGAUGGACCUGCGGUGCAUUAGCUUGUUGGUGGGGUAACGGCCUACCAAGGCGAUGAUGCAUAGCCGAGUUGAGAGACUGAUCGGCCACAAUGGGACUGAGACACGGCCCAUACUCCUACGGGAGGCAGCAGUAGGGAAUCUUCCACAAUGGGCGCAAGCCUGAUGGAGCAACACCGCGUGAGUGAAGAAGGGUUUCGGCUCGUAAAGCUCUGUUGUUAAAGAAGAACACGUAUGAGAGUAACUGUUCAUACGUUGACGGUAUUUAACCAGAAAGUCACGGCUAACUACGUGCCAGCAGCCGCGGUAAUACGUAGGUGGCAAGCGUUAUCCGGAUUUAUUGGGCGUAAAGAGAGUGCAGGCGGUUUUCUAAGUCUGAUGUGAAAGCCUUCGGCUUAACCGGAGAAGUGCAUCGGAAACUGGAUAACUUGAGUGCAGAAGAGGGUAGUGGAACUCCAUGUGUAGCGGUGGAAUGCGUAGAUAUAUGGAAGAACACCAGUGGCGAAGGCGGCUACCUGGUCUGCAACUGACGCUGAGACUCGAAAGCAUGGGUAGCGAACAGGAUUAGAUACCCUGGUAGUCCAUGCCGUAAACGAUGAGUGCUAGGUGUUGGAGGGUUUCCGCCCUUCAGUGCCGGAGCUAACGCAUUAAGCACUCCGCCUGGGGAGUACGACCGCAAGGUUGAAACUCAAAGGAAUUGACGGGGGCCCGCACAAGCGGUGGAGCAUGUGGUUUAAUUCGAAGCUACGCGAAGAACCUUACCAGGUCUUGACAUCUUGCGCCAACCCUAGAGAUAGGGCGUUUCCUUCGGGAACGCAAUGACAGGUGGUGCAUGGUCGUCGUCAGCUCGUGUCGUGAGAUGUUGGGUUAAGUCCCGCAACGAGCGCAACCCUUGUUACUAGUUGCCAGCAUUAAGUUGGGCACUCUAGUGAGACUGCCGGUGACAAACCGGAGGAAGGUGGGGACGACGUCAGAUCAUCAUGCCCCUUAUGACCUGGGCUACACACGUGCUACAAUGGACGGUACAACGAGUCGCGAACUCGCGAGGGCAAGCAAAUCUCUUAAAACCGUUCUCAGUUCGGACUGCAGGCUGCAACUCGCCUGCACGAAGUCGGAAUCGCUAGUAAUCGCGGAUCAGCAUGCCGCGGUGAAUACGUUCCCGGGCCUUGUACACACCGCCCGUCACACCAUGAGAGUUUGUAACACCCAAAGUCGGUGGGGUAACCUUUUAGGAGCCAGCCGCAUAAGGU